Saccostrea cuccullata (small rock oyster) is the source of this 388-nucleotide long non-coding RNA. RefSeq lists it as uncharacterized. Lineage: Eukaryota; Metazoa; Mollusca; Bivalvia; Ostreida; Ostreidae. The record is from RefSeq and is a predicted model, not a curated record. The transcript is spliced from 4 exons.
CAUUGGCCUUUGUGUCUUAUAAUUACUUUCAAGAGAGAAAAGCCAAGAAAGCAAGGUUCGUAAUUUUCAAGUCAGGACCAUAUGAUGCAAUUGAAAAGGGAAAAACCGAAGACAUCAACUUGUAUGAAAAAUACACGUAUCAAAACAGAGAGAAUGGAAAUCCUGAUACAGAAUGGCCGUCAGAAUUAUCAAUCAAUAAUUUGUACUCUUCAGAACCUCAACAAAAAGAUCAAGUCGUAGAAAGGAUUUAUGAAAACACAAGUCUAGUUAAGUCCUCGAAAGACAAAUUAAAACCAGAGAUAAAACCAAAGCCCAAGAAGUUACCGAAACCGAUUACUUAAUAUUUCUUUGUAAUAUAUUUCAAAAAAUAAUUGCAUCUUUUUUUUAU